This 405-nucleotide ribosomal RNA is filed under the name uncultured bacterium. RNAcentral's name for it is "bacterial SSU rRNA". It matches the Rfam family "Bacterial small subunit ribosomal RNA", at positions 355 to 774 of the family's 1533-position model. The record is from RNAcentral.
UAGGGAAUUUUCCGCAAUGGGCGAAAGCCUGACGGAGCAACGCCGCGUGAGUGAAGACGGUUUUCGGAUUGUAAAGCUCUGUUCUGUGGGAAGAAGACAGUGACGGUACCAUAGGAGAAAGCCCCGGCUAACUACGUGCCAGCAGCCGCGGUAAUACGUAGGGGGCAAGCGUUGUCCGGAAUUAUUGGGCGUAAAGCGCGCGCAGGCGGUUAAUUAAGUCAGAUGUGAAAGGCUACGGCUCAACCGUAGAGUUGCAUUUGAAACUGGUUAACUUGAGUGCAGGAGAGGUGAGUGGAAUUCCCGGUGUAGCGGUGGAAUGCGUAGAGAUCGGGAGGAACACCAGUGGCGAAGGCGGCUCACUGGCCUGCAACUGACGCUGAGGCGCGAAAGCGUGGGGAGCGAACA